AACGAACGCUGGCGGCGUGCUUAAUACAUGCAAGUCGAACGUGAAGUUGUAGCAAUACAAUGGAAAGUGGCGAACGGGUGAGUAACACGUAAGUAAUCUACCCUUAAGAUGGGGAUAACCCUGCCAACGCGGGGCUAAUACCGGAUGUGGUCCAGAUACCGCAUGGUGACUGGAUUAAAGGAGAAAUCCGCUUAAGGAUGAGCUUGCGGCCCAUUAGCUAGUUGGUGAGGUAACGGCCCACCAAGGCUUCGAUGGGUAGCCGGCCUGAGAGGGUGUACGGCCACAUUGGGGACUGAGAUACGGCCCAGACUCCUACGGGAGGCUG
RNAcentral lists this ribosomal RNA (325 nucleotides) under uncultured Fibrobacterota bacterium. Its description in RNAcentral is "bacterial SSU rRNA". It matches the Rfam family "Bacterial small subunit ribosomal RNA", at positions 29 to 351 of the family's 1533-position model. Lineage: Bacteria; Pseudomonadati; Fibrobacterota. The record is from RNAcentral.